Molecule: ribosomal RNA, 773 nt
Filed under: uncultured Neocallimastigales
Lineage: Eukaryota; Fungi; Neocallimastigomycota; Neocallimastigomycetes; Neocallimastigales
Description: partial large subunit ribosomal RNA
Rfam family: Eukaryotic large subunit ribosomal RNA
Source: RNAcentral
GUAGUCUCGCACAGAUGCAUAUCAAUAAGCGGAGGAAAAGAAACUAACAAGGAUUCCCUUAGUAACGGCGAGUGAAGCGGGAAGAGCUCAAAUUUGAAAUCUUCAAGGUUUUACCUUGACGAAUUGUAGUUUAAAGAAGUGUUUUCUGUUGAAGUUUUGGUAAAAGUUCUUUGGAAUAGGACAUCAUAGAGGGUGAGAAUCCCGUAUUUGACCAUUAUUUUCAGCUGUGUGAUACACUUUCAAAGAGUCGGAUUGUUUGGGAAUGCAGUCCAAAAUGGGUGGUAAAUUUCAUCUAAAGCUAAAUAUUGGCGAGAGACCGAUAGCGAACAAGUACCGUGAGGGAAAGAUGAAAAGAACUUUGAAAAGAGAGUUAAACAGUACGUGAAAUUGUCAAAAGGGAAGCGUUUGACACCAGUGUUGUUUUCUCGAAAAUCAAUUAAAAAGAGUUAGAUUUUGUUGUGUAUUGACCUUAACAGCUUGCAUUUCAAUUUUCUUGCUUUUUUUAAUGCACUUUUCGUUUAACAAGUCAACAUCAGUUUCUUUUGUUGUAAAAAGGUCAUUGGAAGGUGGCUUUCUUUUCGGAGAAAGUGUUUAUAGCCUUUGACUCCUGCAAUCGGAGAGACUGAGGUCUGCAGCGUAGAUCCUUCGGGGUUAGAUACAUUUGUGCUAAGUUAUAGCUUUUUAUAGACAACUUGUUGACUAUGAUUAGUCUUGUAGCUUACUCGCUUAUGCUAUUUUACCUACGCUUAGGAUGUUGAGCGCAUGUCUCUCCU